AAAACUAGAACUCUAAGCAAAAAAAUGUUGGAUUCCAAUUCCUAAAAAGCUAAGGACAGCCGCAAAUUUGUGACAAAGGAAUUCACCUAAAUAAUUUUCCUUUUGAUUCAUUCAUCUCUCUUCACGCGCACACAACACGGAGAGGCCUAGGGAUGGAACAAAUUGGAAAAGUAAAGUCAAAUCACGGCUAAUGACAGUUGUUUGUUAAGAUUGGGGAUUGAAGAAUUUUCAUCCUACUUUGGUUGGAUUUGAUUCAAAAAUCGAAAGGUUUAAAUGGAACGGACGGUUCACUUUCUUUGAUUUCCAGUAUAUAUAAAAGUUUUAUUGUAUUCCAGUUUUUGAAUCUCAAUUCAAAAUCAAAGAUAGAAUGGGAUUUAGAAUUUUUCUUCUCUUAGAUUUUGGUCUUCAAGGCAUUUCGUUUGAGGUACUGUAGUUAGCUUGAGUUCGCCGCUGGUCGAGGUUCCGAUUAGCAAUUUCAGUAUUUUAAUUUAAUGAUGGUUGAUUUGUUAUUCUGAUUGAAUUGUAAAUUUUCAGCUCUAUUCAUCAAUAAAGGUUCGAUUUCUCUACGUUCAUUCCUUUUUUUAUGAGUUUUUAUUGGUCACUCCAUUUUUUAUGUUGAACGAAGAGUUUUUAUUUUAAUUUAUGUCAUGCUUGUGAUUGUACUAUCUUUUGAUUGAUAAGUUAUUUAUUCGUGAAUUUAAUAGUUAUAUGAAUGAACUUAUUUUGACUUUUAUGAAAACUUCUGGUUGAUUUAAAAUUCAUGUGGUUUACCAAGCUUUCUUGGGUUUUGAUCUUAAGUUUAUUGGGU
Molecule: long non-coding RNA, 808 nt
Filed under: Nicotiana benthamiana
Lineage: Eukaryota; Viridiplantae; Streptophyta; Magnoliopsida; Solanales; Solanaceae
Description: long non-coding RNA (NBEN_LNC023730)
Source: RNAcentral